Podarcis lilfordi (Lilford's wall lizard) is the source of this 89-nucleotide non-coding RNA. The record is from the annotation of a GenBank genome assembly. Lineage: Eukaryota; Metazoa; Chordata; Lepidosauria; Squamata; Lacertidae.
CUCCCUCUCUGCGCAGUGCCUCUCCAGCAAAGUGGAAGGGGCUCUGUUUCUCCUCCUGCUUUGCUGAAGGGGUGCUGCGCAGAGAGGGA